RNAcentral lists this long non-coding RNA (2972 nucleotides) under Jatropha curcas. Its description in RNAcentral is "long non-coding RNA (JCUR_LNC001291)". The record is from RNAcentral. Lineage: Eukaryota; Viridiplantae; Streptophyta; Magnoliopsida; Malpighiales; Euphorbiaceae.
GGCUAAAUCCCAGCCGUUCAUUGAGGAGGUGGAAGUGGCUAUAAAUACCACCCCUCACCUCACUUGUAAAUCAACCAAGCUUAGCCAAGCAAUUCAAGUAAUACAAAGCAUUUGAGUGUUCUUACAAGCUCUCUUGUGUUCUCUUCUCUAUUUAGCUCUCAUUUUCGCUCCAAUACAACUUAAAGGCUUACUUAGCUCGUCCUAGCAACCAAAGGCGACUAAGUGCCGCGCGGAUAGGCUUAGUGAAAUCCUAUCUCUGUGACAGGUGGUAUCAAAGCAGGUUCCGUCCUAGGUGCAAAGUCCCUUGCCUUGAUCAAUGGCAAACGAUGAAGCUUAAUUGGUUGUUGCUGAGGAACAACAACCCAAGCAGCCAGAGGCAGUUCGAGGCCGUGAGCCGGUGCGCACUCGACCUAAGAGGGGGAAGUCUAAGGUACGAACCUCUCCCAUAGAUCAUGUGGAGCAAAGGAUCGCAGCUCUUGAGCAAGCCGUGUCUUCUCAAGAAGCUAUAGUGGGAGAACUCUCCGAGCAACUUGAUAAUGUUGUCCAGGAGAACGAGGAGAUCACUAGAGCUGCCAAGGAUAUGAUCAUGGAGCUUGGUAGAUCCCUACGAGAGGAGCUUCAAGCCCUUGCUGGUAGGAUAACCGAGGUACGUACAUUCACUGAGUUUGAACUUAGUGCCUUGCGUAGCGAAGUAGAUGCUAUCCGUUCCGAAUGCCGGAUGCACCAACGAAUGAGUUGUCCCGCUUCAACCAGUGCUACCACAACUCAUGUAGCACAUGGAUUGAAAGUACCAAAGCCUGCGACGUAUGAUGGAACGCGCAGUGCCUCGAUGGUGGAAAACUUUCUCUUUGGCCUUGACCAGUACUUUGAGGCCAUUGGGGUAAAUGAUGAUGCCACUAAGAUUGGCAAUGUCCCCACAUUCCUUCGGGACGCUGCUCAGUUAUGGUGGCGAAGGAAGCAUGCGGAGCGCGAAAAAGGCACUUGCAACAUCCAUACCUGGGAGCAAUUCAAAAUGGAAUUACGGAAGCACUUCGUGCCUCAUAAUACGGACACCGAAGCAAGGGGUAAACUGCGUCGUCUACAACAAAGAGGUAGCCUUUCCGAUUACAUUAAGGAGUUCACCACUCUUAUGUUGGAGCUUGACGACUUGUCCGACAAAGAUGCUCUCUUCUUCUUAAAAGAUGGGCUAAGAGAGUGGGCGAAGGUGGAGCUAGAGCGGCGUAGCGUGCAAACACUUGAUGAUGCUAUUGCCAUGGCUGAAUCCCUAAGGGACUACUCCACCCAAGUCGAGAACAAUAAGCCCAUUCCUAGCAAGAGUGGGGGAGAGAGAGAAGAUCAGGAGAAGGACCAUCAUCACAGGGAAGAUGGUCCACCCAAAGCUCUCGAGGGAAGACAUGAUAAGCAGUUUAGGAAGCAUAGUUUUAAACCUAAACCUUGCUUCCUCUGUGGAGGGCCGCAUUGGACAAAAGAUUGCCCCAAUAAGGAGGAAAUAAAUACGAUGCGUGCUGUCUAUAAAAAGGUAAUGAAUGCCAUGGUCGCUGAGUGCAAUAAGGAGAAACAGGCGACAGAGGAACACCAAGCCCAUAUGGGUUCCCUACGAUAUUUGGGCGCCAUAUCUCUUCGCACUCCCAAGGAGGAGGAAGUGAUAAAUCAUGAGCAACCCUCACCAAAAUCUGCCCAAACAGUGCAGGAUGAGUCCAAAGACAAAACGCCUCCACAGUCACCAAAAACGCUUCCUUCUAAAAAGGAAGUCGAUCACCAAAAUGAGCUGGAGCCAAGUGCUAAGCUGCCAGCCAAGACCUCUCCUCAUAAGUCACCUCCAAAGAUGGGAGAACAGAGAAAGGCCAAGAUUGUCGCGGACGCAUCAAGUCACAAGGCAAAGCUAGCCAACACCAGUGCUAGCACCUCACAAAACAACCCACGGGAUCACAUCCGUAAACCUCACAAGUGUGUGAGGAAAUGGCAUAAGGAAGCUGACGAGAUUCUUGCUUGUCUUGACAAGGCUGCCCGGUUUAUAAAGAAAUGGGCCAAGAGGCGACCGAAGACGUACGCCAAAGGAGACAAGGUACUCGUCAAGCUCCGCCCUAACCAGCUCAAGUCCUUACAAAAGGUACAUGAAGGGCUUGUGAAGAAGUAUGAAGGACCAUUCCCUGUCAUCGAACGAGUAGGGAAGGCCGCAUAUCAAGUCCAACUGCCUCUCGAGUGGAAGAUUCAUAAUAUCUUCCAUGUAAGCAUGCUAAAACCUUAUCAUGUGGAUGGUAAGGAUCCAAGUAAGGGCGAGUCUACUCGACCACCAACUGCUGUUACCAAAUCUGGCAAGGAGGUUGAGAGCAUCCUCAACUCACGAGUGGUACGGCGAUGCGAAAAGAACUUGCCCAAGUCUGAAGCUAGGGAGCAUGAAGAUACUCUUCGGCAGUUCAAGGAUAAGAUAAGACAACGCGAGGCUCAUAUCGCGACGAGGACGUCGCGAGAUUGAGUGGGGGAGGGUGUUACGCCCCACACUGUAAGCUGCGCAAGAAUGCAAGGCAGCCUAGCAAUUUAUAGGCAAGGCAUUAGAAGGGUGCCAAUUGGGCUGCCUAAAUGUGCCAAGGCUUGGGAAGUCUCUAGCCCAAUGCUAGAUUAUCCAAGCCCGUUUUCUAGAAUUCUCUACACUACUCCACACUAGGAGAUAUUUUGUGUAUUGUCUACAUUAGUCUAGAAUCAUCCAUAUAAUCUAGACCGUUGAUUUGUGUAGGCUAAAUCCUAGCCGUUCAUUGAGGAGGUGGAGGUGGCUAUAAAUACCACCCCUCACCUCACUUGUAAAUCAACCAAGCUUAGCCAAGCAAUUCAAGUAAUACAAAUCAUUUGAGUGUUCUUACAAGCUCUCUUGUGUUCUCUUCUCUAUUUAGCUCUCAUUUUCGCUCCAAUACAACUUAAAGGCUUACUUAGCUCGUCCUAGCAACCAAAGGCGACUAAGUGCCGCGCGGAUAGGC